GAUGAACGCUGGCGGCGUGCCUAAUACAUGCAAGUCGAGCGAACGGACGAGAAGCUUGCUUCUCUGAUGUUAGCGGCGGACGGGUGAGUAACACGUGGAUAACCUACCUAUAAGACUGGGGUAACUUCGGGAAACCGGAGCUAAUACCGGAUAAUAUUUUGAACCGCAUGGUUCAAAAGUGAAAGACGGUCUUGCUGUCACUUAUAGAUGGAUCCGCGCUGCAUUAGCUAGUUGGUAAGGUAACGGCUUACCAAGGCAACGAUGCAUAGCCGACCUGAGAGGAUGAUCAGCCACAGUGGAACUGAGACACGGGCCAGACGCCGAAGGGAGGCAGCAGUGGGGAAUAUUGGACAAAGUGCGAAAUCCUGAACCAGCCAUACUGCGUGGGUGAAGAAGGUCUUCGGGUUGGAAAGCACUUUUGUGGGGAAAGAAAAGCAGAAGGUUAAUACCACGCUGUGAGGACGGGACCCAAAGAAGAAGCACCGGCUAGCUUCGUG
RNAcentral lists this ribosomal RNA (497 nucleotides) under uncultured bacterium. RNAcentral describes it as "partial 16S ribosomal RNA". It matches the Rfam family "Bacterial small subunit ribosomal RNA", at positions 28 to 507 of the family's 1533-position model. The record is from RNAcentral.